GACGAACGCUGGCGGCGUGCCUAAUACAUGCAAGUCGAGCGCAGGAAAUCGAUGGAACCCUUCGGGGGGAAGUCGACGGAAUGAGCGGCGGACGGGUGAGUAACACGUAAAGAACCUGCCCUCAGGUCUGGGAUAACCACGAGAAAUCGGGGCUAAUACCGGAUGGGUCAUCGGACCGCAUGGUCAGAGGAUGGAAGGCGCUGCGGCGCCGCCCGGGGAUGGCUUUGCGGUGCAUUAGCUAGUUGGGGGGGUAAUGGCCCACCAAGGCGACGAUGCAUAGCCGACCUGAGAGGGUGAUCGGCCACACUGGGACUGAGACACGGCCCAGACUCCUACGGGAGGCAGCAGUAGGGAAUCUUCCACAAUGGACGAAAGUCUGAUGGAGCAACGCCGCGUGAACGAUGAAGGCCUUCGGGUCGUAAAGUUCUGUUGUAAGGGAAGAACAAGUGCCGCAGGCAAUGGCGGCACCUUGACGGUACCUUGCGAGAAAGCCACGGCUAACUACGUGCCAGCCGCCGCGGUAA
RNAcentral lists this ribosomal RNA (524 nucleotides) under uncultured bacterium. RNAcentral describes it as "partial 16S ribosomal RNA". It matches the Rfam family "Bacterial small subunit ribosomal RNA", at positions 28 to 523 of the family's 1533-position model. The record is from RNAcentral.